This 79-nucleotide transfer RNA is filed under the name Phaeobacter phage MD18. It matches the Rfam family "tRNA". From Rfam's summary of the family: Transfer RNA (tRNA) molecules are approximately 80 nucleotides in length. Their secondary structure includes four short double-helical elements and three loops (D, anti-codon, and T loops). Further hydrogen bonds mediate the characteristic L-shaped molecular structure. tRNAs have two regions of fundamental functional importance: the anti-codon, which is responsible for specific mRNA codon recognition, and the 3' end, to which the tRNAs corresponding amino acid is attached (by aminoacyl-tRNA synthetases). tRNAs cope with the degeneracy of the genetic code in two manners: having more than one tRNA (with a specific anti-codon) for a particular amino acid; and 'wobble' base-pairing, i.e. permitting non-standard base-pairing at the 3rd anti-codon position. The record is from Rfam by way of RNAcentral. Lineage: Duplodnaviria; Heunggongvirae; Uroviricota; Caudoviricetes.
GGGGGCGUGGCGGAACGGUAUACGCAGCAGCUUCAAACCCUGUGGCUUCGGCAUGAGGGUUCGAAUCCCUCCGCCCCUA